CCUGAGCUGCACCGGGCUGGGAGGAUAACAAUUAUUGGGAGAGGUUUAAAAAAAAAAAUCAUUAUCAAAUAACUAUAGCUUGAAAAAGUUGGCGGGCUGGAGGGAAAACGUGGCCUGGAUUGCGCGGUGGCUGCCUCCGCUCCGGGCGCGCCGCGCCGCGGUAGCCAAAAAUGGAAGGAAGCACAUCUGUAACGCAUUUAUGUGAUGUUCACCUUUGAGACCGCGCGGCUGCAAGGAGGCGUCCAGAACCCAACUGACAAAGAGACUUGCAGAAAUUGUACCCUCCCCGCGGGCGGCUGAUUGGAUGGAGCAUGCCCAGAAGGGACAUAGGAUCACUUCCUUCUCCCAAAGCUACCAAUCAGGAUAUAUGCUCCGUGGGGACAGGGACUUUGUCCAGCUUCUUCACCCAGAGGCACCAGUGAGGGCAGGAAAGUGAAGAGACUGAUUCCCUCAACAAAGCCGGCAGUUUUAGGAAGUCACCGAGGCAGCUGUGAGCCGAGCCCG
Long non-coding RNA from Camelus dromedarius (Arabian camel), 504 nucleotides. RefSeq lists it as uncharacterized. The transcript has 4 exons. Lineage: Eukaryota; Metazoa; Chordata; Mammalia; Artiodactyla; Camelidae. The record is from RefSeq and is a predicted model, not a curated record.